CCCACAUACCCUAACCUAGUGAGAGAAUUUAAGUAAAUGCGAAUACCGAAGUAGGAAGCAUAGAAUCGAAGGUGAAGGGAGUGUGCAUUUUGUUGAAUAUUACGAGUUUGGGAUGCACUCUUAGGAUGCCCACCAAUGGUAGCACAAUAAAUCAUCUUAAUGAUUACAAGUCAUUUUUGGGAGAGAUGAGGUUUGUGAGGUAAAGGAGGUG
Molecule: long non-coding RNA, 211 nt
Filed under: Elaeis guineensis (African oil palm)
Lineage: Eukaryota; Viridiplantae; Streptophyta; Magnoliopsida; Arecales; Arecaceae
Description: long non-coding RNA (EGUI_LNC008204)
Source: RNAcentral